GGUGGAGUUCCCGAGUGGCCAAAGGGGGCAGACUGUAAAUCUGUUGCGUUUCGCUUCGAUGGUUCGAAUCCAUCCUCCACCACCA
Molecule: transfer RNA, 85 nt
Filed under: Clostridium sp. ATCC 29733
Lineage: Bacteria; Bacillati; Bacillota; Clostridia; Eubacteriales; Clostridiaceae
Also listed under: 5 other names
Description: tRNA-Tyr
Rfam family: tRNA
About the family: Transfer RNA (tRNA) molecules are approximately 80 nucleotides in length. Their secondary structure includes four short double-helical elements and three loops (D, anti-codon, and T loops).
Source: RNAcentral